GAAUGCCCCUAGUCUUCAUCGUCAUCAACGUCCAACUGUACGACGAUGGAGACGAUGCCUACACCGAAGAGGACAUAGAGUGAGAGAAUGUGGCAUGUAGCAAAGAGGAAAAUGAGGGCAAGAAGCAGUCAGCAAUAGCCAUGAAUUGAAACUGGAUUCGGUGUCGUCGGCCCCCUGUAUGAUGUAGAUGGGGCGUGGAUCCAUUG
Caenorhabditis elegans is the source of this 206-nucleotide non-coding RNA. Lineage: Eukaryota; Metazoa; Nematoda; Chromadorea; Rhabditida; Rhabditidae. The record is from Ensembl.